GCGUCGACCGGCGCACGGGUGAGUAACGCGUAUCCAACCUGCCCACCACUUGGGGAUAACCUUGCGAAAGUAAGACUAAUACCCAAUGAUAUCUCUAGAAGAACUCCUGAAAGAGAUUAAAGAUUUAUCGGUGAUGGAUGGGGAUGCGUCUGAUUAGCUUGUUGGCGGGGUAACGGCCCACCAAGGCAACGAUCAGUAGGGGUUCUGAGAGGAAGGUCCCCCACAUUGGAACUGAGACACGGUCCAAACUCCUACGGGAGGCAGCAGUGAGGAAUAUUGGUCAAUGGACGAGAGUCUGAACCAGCCAAGUAGCGUGCAGGAUGACGGCCCUAUGGGUUGUAAACUGCUUUUAUAAGGGAAUAAAGUGAGUCUCGUGAGACUUUUUGCAUGUACCUUAUGAAUAAGGACCGGCUAAUUCCGUGCCAGCAGCCGCGGUAAUACGGAAGGUCCGGGCGUUAUCCGGAUUUAUUGGGUUUAAAGGGAGCGUAGGCCGGAGAUUAAGCGUGUUGUGAAAUGUAGACGCUCAACGUCUGCACUGCAGCGCGAACUGGUUUCCUUGAGUACGCACAAAGUGGGCGGAAUUCGUGGUGUAGCGGUGAAAUGCUUAGAUAUCACGAAGAACUCCGAUUGCGAAGGCA
This 638-nucleotide ribosomal RNA is filed under the name uncultured bacterium. RNAcentral's name for it is "bacterial SSU rRNA". It matches the Rfam family "Bacterial small subunit ribosomal RNA", at positions 88 to 723 of the family's 1533-position model. The record is from RNAcentral.